GACAAAAUGUGAAAUCUACAACUACAGUUGAAGAUCUAAUUGGAGAGAAAAAGAUGUGAGCUGUAAACUGAUUUCAUUGAUUAGAAGAAGUGAUCUGUACAAUGCACUAUGUACAUACAUAUAUACUGCUACUACUAAACUCACAUCCUAUCACAAUCUUACACCUGUCAAUAAUAACAGAAUUCAGUUACAUCUAAUAAUAACUAACUGCUAAACUAAGACUGCUAAACUAAGCUGUAACAAAUCAGUAACAAACCAGUGAGGUCAAGUUACACCACUAUCCUCAAUACUCCUCCUCAAACUAGGUGUAGUGAAUACAUUUAGAACACCAAGUUUGGAUAAAAGUGAUUCAUGUUGCAGUCUUCCCAAAGCUUUGGUUAAAAUGUCUGCUUGUUGGUGUUGUGUAGGGAUAUACAUAGUACUAAUCAACCCUUGUUGAAUCUUCUCCCUAAUAAAGUGGCAAUCAAUCUCUAUGUGUUUCGUCCUCUCAUGAAACACAGGAUUUGCUGCAAUUUGAAGUGCUGCCUUACUAUCACAGAACACAGAAACUGGUUCCUCAAUCUGAAUAUUCAAUUCUUUGAACAAGUUUGUCAUCCAAACAAUUUCUGCUGUUAGACAAGCCAAGCUUCUAUAUUCUGCUUCAGCAGAACUUCUUGAUACUGCAGCCUGUUUCUUUGAUUUCCAAGAGAUGAGAGAAUCUCCCAACUUCAGUAGAUAACCUGUCACUGAUCUUCUAGUAUUUGGGCAUGCUGCCCAGUCUGCAUCACAAAAACCAGUCAGUUUCAUCUUCUUCUGUGAGGACAUAAGUAAGCCCAAUCCUGGUUGAGUCUUGAUAUAUCUAAGAACUCUAAUAGCAGCCUGCCAGUGCUGAGCUUUUGGUUUCUGGAGGAAUUGACUGAGAGUCUGGACUGUGUAAGCUAUGUCAGGUCUGAUGAUGGUUAAGUACAAUAACUUGCCAAUCAUUCUUUGAUAUUGAGUAACAUCCGGAUGCAACUCCUCCUCACCACAAUCUUCUUCAGAGGCUGUAGUGAGUUUCAUAUUACACUCCAACGGAGUAUUCGCUGCCUUUCCUGCAGUAAUGCCUGCUUCAACUAAGAGCUCCAAUGCAUAUUUCCUUUGGUUCAUAAGGAUACCCCGUUUGGAUCUGCAUGAGUGAUCCAUACCUGCUUGAUUGACUGCUGGGAUCACAGAAUUCUCCUUGUUCAAUAGCCUGAGAAUUUGACCAUAUUGCUCCUGUGUGAAUGUAGGAGGUGUUUGGCCAAGUGAAUCAUUCUCAACAGCAUUGAAAUUUGCCAUUCUAUUGGCAUUGUUUCCAGACUUCUUCCUGAACUUGUAAUCUGGUGGAUAUCCAACAACACGAUAACAAGUUUCUUUGGUAUGGCCCUUGAUUUUGCAAACAUCACACUGCAAAUUGUAGUCCCUUUUUGGCUUGUAGAGUGCUGAUUGUUGGUGACCUCUACCAGCAUAUAAAGCAGUAGAAUUAGAGGCACCUGCAUCUCCUCCUGAAUAAGAACCACCACUAGUGUAUGAAGCAACACCUGCAUCCCCUCCUGAAUAGGAACCUCCACCAGUGUACUGUCUUUGAUCCUUGCCUACAUAUAAAGCAGUAGAAAUCCCCAAAUCUCCUCCUGAAUAUGAACCUGCUGUUACUCGUUGACUCUCAUCUGAAAUGAUCAUCGAAUAUGCUUUGUUCACAGAGGGCAACGCAUCUUCAUAAGAUUUAGGUUCACACACAGCUGAAAAUCUGCUUAAAUAGGCUCUGUAUGUGGAAGAGAUGUGCUGAUACGAAACACAGUUGGACAAUGAGUGAGGUUUCUGCUUCCCAGAAGUGAUAUAGUCUUGAUGCCAGGCUGGUGUAAUCACAGUUCUACUGGACCUCCUAGUAAUAUUGGUGGUUGGUUGACUCUCAGGAAUACCAACAAUAUCAUUGAGUGGAUCUGCAGUGUCAUUCAAUACUGUGGACACAUCAGAAACUUCAGGUACAUGAUCAAUAAUAGUCUCUGCAGAAACUUGAUCUUGUUCUGAUUCUAAUGGCUGAGUGAUGUCUGGGAACAGGGGAAUUGUAUCAUCAUGCAGUUCCUUAAAAGGAAACAUAUGCUCCUUAAACACCACAUCCCUACUAACCAUGAACUUCUUGUCUGCAAUAUUAUAAAGAAGAUACCCCUUCUGAGUCAAAGAAUAGCCCAUCAUAACACAAGCAACAGAUCUGGGAGAAAAUUUGUCUUUCCUAAUUAAUGUGGUAGCAUAACACAUACAUCCAACAGUUCUUAAAUGAUCCAGCUUAGGCUUCCUUUGAUAGAAGACUUCAUAAGGAGAUUUACCUUCCAAUGUAGGAGUAGGUAACCUGUUGAUUAAGUAUACAGCUGCUACAACACAUUCUCCCCAAAACCUGAUAGGUAUGCCACCCUGAAACAUGAUACUUCUGGCUACUUCCAACACAUGCCUAUGUUUUCUUUCCACCACUCCAUUUUGCUGUGGAGUGUGUGGACAACUGCUUUGGUGAACUAUGCCUAAAGAGGCAAAUAAGUCUUUGCAUUCAAUGUUAAAAAACUCACCCCCAUUAUCUGAUCUAACAUUCUUCACAUUGUGAUCAAACUGAGUUUUAACCAUUUUGAAAAAAGACUUCAAGACAACAAUAACAUCAGAUUUCAGUCUAAGCAAAUACAACCAUGUAGUUCUAGAAUAGUCAUCAACAAUAGUGAGGAAAUACUUGAAACCAGCAUGAGUGCUGAUUCUUUGUGGACCCCAAACAUCAAUAUGUAUCAAUUCAAAUACAGAACUACUUCUAGUUGUAGACACAGGAAAAGGCAACCGUGUUUGCUUAGCUAAUGGACAUACAACACAAUCAUUAAUAUGUCUAUCAUUAAUGGAAACUAAUUUCUUCAAAGUAGUGGAGGAUGGGUGGCCAAGUCUAUUGUGCCAUAGCAUGCCUUCAUCAUCAUUGGUCUUUAUGUGCAUCAACUUUGCACUAGCUGCAUUCAUGUUGCUUCCAUCUCCAACAUCUUUAUUCAACAGAAAAUAUAAACCUCCUGUCUCCUUACCAAUCCCCUUGACCUUCCCAGUUAACAGGUCCUGAAAUACACAAAACUCAGGAAAAAAUCUUACUGAGCAGUGUAAAUGCCUGGUUAACUGAGAAACUGAAAUCAGAUUAUACUUGAAAUCAGGAACCACUAAAACAUUAGCCAACACAUCACCAUUGUCCCAUCUAUAACUACCAGUGUGUGUUAUUGAUGCAGUUCCUCCAUCAGGCAAUUGUACAUGGUUCUGAUCACUUUGUUCUAAUGCAACGAUGUCAAACAAAUCAUCUAGUGAUGUUGUUAUAUGCUUUGUUGCGCCAGAGUCUACUACCCAGUGUUUAAACUUAUUACUAAUAGAGAAUGAGUGAUCCAUACCUGCUUGAUUGACUGCUGGGAUCACAGAAUUCUCCUUGUUCAAUAGCCUGAGAAUUUGACCAUAUUGCUCCUGUGUGAAUGUAGGAGGUGUUUGGCCAAGUGAAUCAUUCUCAACAGCAUUGAAAUUUGCCAUUCUAUUGGCAUUGUUUCCAGACUUCUUCCUGAACUUGUAAUCUGGUGGAUAUCCAACAACACGAUAACAAGUUUCUUUGGUAUGGCCCUUGAUUUUGCAAACAUCACACUGCAAAUUGUAGUCCCUUUUUGGCUUGUAGAGUGCUGAUUGUUGGUGACCUCUACCAGCAUAUAAAGCAGUAGAAUUAGAGGCACCUGCAUCUCCUCCUGAAUAAGAACCACCACUAGUGUAUGAAGCAACACCUGCAUCCCCUCCUGAAUAGGAACCUCCACCAGUGUACUGUCUUUGAUCCUUGCCUACAUAUAAAGCAGUAGAAAUCCCCAAAUCUCCUCCUGAAUAUGAACCUGCUGUUACUCGUUGACUCUCAUUUGAAAUGAUCAUCGAAUAUGCUUUGUUCACAGAGGGCAACAGAAUCAUCAUGAGGAUUUGACUACGUGCCUGAGUAUAUGACUCAUUGAGCCCCAUCAGAAAUGCAAAUAACUUCAUAUAUUGCAAGUGACUUGCAUACACUAUGGAUUUAUCACAGCCACAAGAAGGAGGUGCUACAAGGGCAUCGAACUCAUCCCAAAGAAGCCUUAGUCGUGUGAAAUAUGCAGAAACAGAGGAAGUACCUUGUGUGAUAGUGCAAAUUUCUCGACCUUAUCGAACCUCUCCUUUAAGUCAGCCCACACAGUUGCAGCAUCAGUGGCAUAGAUGAUUCCACUCAUCAAUUCCUUCGAAACAGAAUUCAGAAUCCAUGAUAAUACGAAUGCAUUGCACUUCUCCCACUGUUCUUCUAAUGCAUCACUGUAAUCACUCUUUCUAUAGGUACCAAAAACGAAUCCAGCUUUGCUCUUAGCUCGGAGAGUAAGGAGCAUCGAUCGGCUCCAUAAUGAGUAAUUCUCCACGCCUGUAAGCUGAAUUGAGGUCAAUAUUGAACCUGGAGUGUCAGAUUGCAGAAGAUACAGAGGAUGAUUUCGAUUCUUCUCAACCACUUCGAUUGUAUCAGUACUCACCAUUUCCCCAAAAUUUAGAUCACAAAAAAAAACUCAGAGAAUUGCAGGAAGUAGAUCGUCAACAAUUACGAGUGAAUCAACUGUGGAUUCGAAGCUCUGAUACCAUGACAAAAUGUGAAAUCUACAACUACAGUUGAAGAUCUAAUUGGAGAGAAAAAGAUGUGAGCUGUAAACUGAUUUCAUUGAUUAGAAGAAGUGAUUUGUACAAUGCACUAUGUACAUACAUAUAUACUGCUACUACUAAACUCACAUCCUAUCACAAUCUUACACCUGUCAAUAAUAACAGAAUUCAGUUACAUCUAAUAAUAACUAACUGCUAAACUAAGACUGCUAAACUAAGCUGUAACAAAUCAGUAACAAACCAGUGAGGUCAAGUUACACCACUAUCCUCAAUA
RNAcentral lists this long non-coding RNA (4915 nucleotides) under Solanum tuberosum (potato). RNAcentral describes it as "long non-coding RNA (STUB_LNC004052)". Lineage: Eukaryota; Viridiplantae; Streptophyta; Magnoliopsida; Solanales; Solanaceae. The record is from RNAcentral.